Molecule: ribosomal RNA, 292 nt
Filed under: uncultured bacterium
Lineage: Bacteria
Description: partial 16S ribosomal RNA
Rfam family: Bacterial small subunit ribosomal RNA
Source: RNAcentral
GUGCCAGCAGCCGCGGUAAUACGUAGGUGACAAGCGUUAUCCGGAAUUACUGGGCGUAAAGCGCACGCAGGCGGCCGAGUAAGUCUGACGUGAAAUCUCCCGGCUUAACCGGGAGCGGUCGUUGGAAACUACUUGGCUUGAGGCGAUGAGAGGGGUGUGGAAUUCCCGGUGUAGUGGUGGAAUGCGUAGAUAUCGGGAGGAACAUCAGUGGCGAAAGCGGCACCCUGGCAUUAGCCUGACGCUCAGGUGCGAAAGCGUGGGGAGCGAACGGGAUUAGAUACCCCUGUAGUCC